GCGUACGGCUCAGUAACACGUAGUCAACCUGCCCUAGAGACAUGGACAACCCCGGGAAACUGGGACUAAUCCGUGAUAGGUCAUCUCAUCUGGAAGGAGAGAUGGUUUAAAGGGGUGCGAGAGCUUCUUUCUUGUACCUGCUCUAGGAUGGGACUGCGGCCGAUCAGGCUGUUGGUGGGGUAAUGGCCCACCAAACCUGUAACCGGUACGGGCCUUGAGAGAGGGGGCCCGGAGAUGGACACUGAGAGAAGGGUCCAGGUCCUACGGGGCGCAGCAGGCGCGAAACCUUCGCAAUGCGCGAAAGCGUGACGAGGUUAAUCCGAGUGGUCCCCGCUAAGGGGAUCUUUUCUUGGCUCUAAAACGACCAGGGAAUAGGGGAGGGCAAGUCUGGUGUCAGCCGCCGCGGUAAUACCAGCUCCUCGAGUGGUCGGGGCGAUUAUUUGGCCUAAAGCAUCCGUAGCCUGUUCCGUAGGUCUUCUGUUAAAUCCAACGGCUUAACCGUUGGCCCGCAGAAGAUACCGCGGGACUAGGAGGCGGGAGAGGUGGACGGUACUCUACGUGUAGGGGUAAAAUCCUUUGAUCCGUAGAAGACCACCAGAGGCGAAGGCGGUCCACCAGAACGCGCUCGACGGUGAGGGAUGAAAGCUGGGGGAGCGAACCGGAUUAGAUACCCGGGUAGUCCCAGCCGUAAACGAUGCGAGCUAGAUGAUCCAAUCGCAAAUCGCGAUUGGAGUGUCGCAGGGAAGCCGUUAAGCUCGCCGCCUGGGGAGUACGGUCGCAAGACUGAAACUUAAAGGAAUUGGCGGGUGAGCACCACAAGGGGUGAAGCCUGCGGUUCAAUUGGAGCAACGCCAGGAAACUUACCAGGAGAGACAGCAGGUUGAGGGUCAAGCUGAAGACUUUACCUGACGAGCUGAGAGGAGGUGCAUGGCCGUCGCCAGCUCGUGCCGUGAGGCGUCCUGUUAAGUCAGGCAACGAGCGAGACCCCUAUUGGUAAUUGCUAACUGUCCAGAGAUGGAUAGAGGCUAGUUACCGAGACUGCCGCUGCUAAAGCGGAGGAAGGAGGGGGCCACGGCAGGUCAGUAUGCCCCGAAACUCCUGGGCCACACGCGGGCUGCAAUGGUAGGGACAAUUGGUUCCGACUUCGAAAGAAGAAGGCAAUCCGCAAACCCUACCUCAGUUGUGAUUGAGGAUUGAAACCCGUCCUCAUGAAUAUGGAAUCCCUAGUAACCGCGUGUCAUCACCGCGC
Molecule: ribosomal RNA, 1249 nt
Filed under: metagenome
Description: bacterial SSU rRNA
Rfam family: Archaeal small subunit ribosomal RNA
Source: RNAcentral